UGUGGGAGCGGGCUUGCUCGCGAAAGCGGUGGGUCAGCUUCAUUGAUGUUGACUGACACUCCGCCUUCGCGAGCAAGCCCGCUCCCACA
This 89-nucleotide unclassified non-coding RNA is filed under the name Pseudomonas migulae. Lineage: Bacteria; Pseudomonadati; Pseudomonadota; Gammaproteobacteria; Pseudomonadales; Pseudomonadaceae. The record is from RNAcentral.